GAAAAACUGGCUGGACAGCUGAGCCCAAAGAGUGGUGGCUGAUCACAAGUGGUGUUCCCCAGGGCUCAGUACUGGGCCCAGUUCUGUUUAAUAUCCUCAUCUAUGAUCUGGAUGAGGGGAUCGAGGGCACUCUCAGUAAGGCUGCAGAAGACACCAAGUUGGGAGGGGGGUGGUGGUCUGCUUGAGGGUAGGAAGACUCCACAGAGGGAUGUGAGCAGGCUGGAUCAGUGGGCUGAGUCUGAGGGAACUGGGGGUGUUUGGCCUGGAGAAAAGGAGGCUCGGGGGGACCUUAUUGCUGUCUACAAAUACCUGAGAGGAAAGGGUAGCGACAUUGGUCUCUUAUCCCAAGUAAUAAGUGAUGGGAUAAGAGGAAAUGGCCUCAAGUUGUGCCAGGGAACGUUUAGACUGGAUAAUAAGAAAAGUGUCUUCACCAAAAGAGUUGUCAAGCACUGGAACAGGCUGCCCAGGGAAGUGGCAGAGUCACCAUCCCUGGAGGUGUUUAACGGAUGUGUAGAUGUGGCAUUUGAGGACAUGGUUUAGUGGUGGCCUUGGCAGUGCUGGGUUAAUGGUUGGACUCCAUGGUCUUCAAGGUCUUUUCCAGUUUAAAUUAUUCCAUGAUUCUAUAUUUGGUCUUAUGUAAUCAGUAUUGCAAUAACAGCUACUUUGUUCUUAGUUGUGUGGCUACUAUCUUAACAAACAGGAACCAUGUUUUGCUGUUGUCCUCAUGACACAAAGAAACUUGUUCUUGUAAAAAAAACAAAUCAAUUUAUUCUUUUUAUAUAUUUUUUUUUACAUAUCUUCGCUUUUUCCCUGUCUUCCCAGGAAUAUCAAACGAUCUUAUUCAGAAGAACCAGACACUUAGAUCUGUUACAGUUAAUCCAACUGGAUUUUACUGUUUUAUACAUUAGUUCGAGGAGCUAAGAAGGUGGGACAGUCUUCUCUGUCCCCUCCAUUAAUGUUUUAUGACACAGGUACAGUGGGACAAGACAACAAGUUUCCUUAAUGCCACAUCUACAUCGUGUAUAAAUGGAACAUGAACUGGCAGCAUCCUAUAAGAAAAAUGCAGCAAUACAUUUUGUAUAAGAUUUAGUGGUUUUGUCCUUCUGUGACUUGGAGGAACUGCAGCUGUACUAGAAUAGCUUCAGGAUUUGGCUGACUUAUGUAUGCACCCGCCAGGGCUCCAGUAUCUGUGCCAAAAUAGAGAAACAGAGAAAAUUCCUGCACUUCCACACAGCACGUGGGGAGAAAGACACUUGUGUCUGGAGCCAGGAUGGCAGACAGCACCCGUCCCUCUGGCAGCUACACAUUGCUGAAUGCAUUUCAGAGGUUUGUUUUUGUCUUGUGUACACAUCAUGUUUUCUGUCCACUGUCAGAGCAUCUUAAAUGAAGACAUAAUGUAUGACUGUGACAGAGGAGUUUGGUUUCUCUGUGCCAUUCUCUGCUCUUUUGUGACUAUGCAGAAGGACUCAUGUGCUCGCUGUGGUCGUUGCCUUUUGCCACUAAUUAGAGGAAGAACUGCUCUGGUUUCAUCCCUAAGCUUGCAAGUCUCUCAAAGUCAUGAUGAUGUCACUAUUUUUUAUGUAGCCUGGGUUAUAAAGAUGUAACACUAAAGGAAUGACAGUGAUUAUUUCACGUUGACUGGGUGGUAUCUUCUGAGACUACUAUUUCUUUAGUACCAAUUGUAACUCUAGAUACCACAACACCACUUGCUUCGGUUGAAGGAGAAAAGAAAAAGCACAGGUGUGAGGAAGUUGCAUUGUACAACUGUGUUAUCUGCAAUGCAGGCAAGUGAUUUAUGAUUGCAUGUUUCAUGGAGCUGGAAUGAUAUUGCCAGAGAUGACAGCUUUUCACCCCUGUUCUUCUGGGAGCUAAGCAUCUGUACAUCCCCCUUGUGUAACUUUCACUGCAGCCCUUUUCUGGAGCUCUCAUGCAAACUGCUUUCUGUAGAACAAGAUUCCUCCUAAGGAAGUCUGUCCUACUGCCACUAGCUGAGGAGAUGCAUGUUUAGUGCUACCAGCAUGCCCUCUUGUGUUCUGGGAGAGCACUCGUGGAAAGCAAGAUGGAAAACACCCAGGAAGACACAAAU
This is a long non-coding RNA of Pezoporus occidentalis (night parrot), 2086 nucleotides long. RefSeq lists it as uncharacterized. The record is from RefSeq and is a predicted model, not a curated record. The transcript has 5 exons. NCBI's taxonomy places the organism in Eukaryota, Metazoa, Chordata, Aves, Psittaciformes, Psittacidae.